AUUCUGUGAUGAGGGCACUUCCGUAAUAAUUAUUUGUAUCUUUCCCAUGCCUCAACAAAGACUCAUUAUCCAUUUGUUGGAAAGCAGUGAUCUCGUUCCUCAACUU
This is a non-coding RNA of Gossypium raimondii (Peruvian cotton), 106 nucleotides long. The record is from Rfam. Lineage: Eukaryota; Viridiplantae; Streptophyta; Magnoliopsida; Malvales; Malvaceae.